GGGGGUAUAGCUCAGUGGUAGAGCAUGUGCUUAGCAUGUACGAGGUUGCAUGAGGUCCUGGGUUCAUCCCCAGUACUUUCA
RNAcentral lists this transfer RNA (81 nucleotides) under Camelus bactrianus (Bactrian camel). It matches the Rfam family "tRNA". Rfam says of the family: Transfer RNA (tRNA) molecules are approximately 80 nucleotides in length. Their secondary structure includes four short double-helical elements and three loops (D, anti-codon, and T loops). Lineage: Eukaryota; Metazoa; Chordata; Mammalia; Artiodactyla; Camelidae. RNAcentral also lists the same sequence under 3 other names. The record is from Rfam by way of RNAcentral.